Molecule: long non-coding RNA, 250 nt
Filed under: Heterocephalus glaber (naked mole-rat)
Lineage: Eukaryota; Metazoa; Chordata; Mammalia; Rodentia; Bathyergidae
Description: lncRNA (ENSHGLG00100039518.1)
Source: RNAcentral
UCUAUUUUAGGGUGGGUCUCAUAGUACCCAGAACACCUUUAGAAGAGGAGUUUUCCUCCAGUCUCCGGAAUGUCACUCUGUACACAGGAAGCAUCGAAACAGCUGGCAAGUCCAGUGGGAUUCAGCAGUACAUCAUUUAAAUAGCACCUUCAGGGAUUUCCCGAGACCUAAUUAAAACUGAUGUUGUCAUCUGGCACGAAUUUGUGCGGUUUGUCUAACUUCUUCAACUGUCAAAUAGAACUCUUUGCUA